Molecule: unclassified non-coding RNA, 404 nt
Filed under: Hevea brasiliensis (rubber tree)
Lineage: Eukaryota; Viridiplantae; Streptophyta; Magnoliopsida; Malpighiales; Euphorbiaceae
Source: RNAcentral
UAGAACGUGGUUCCACUUGCUUUAAUAUGGGUACUUUGGGGAGAGAGGGAAAUGAGAGACCUUUUGAAGUUGUGGCGUCGAGUUUCUCUCCAUCAAGGAGUAGUUUGAGUUCCCUUAUUUUCUUUUGGUGUGAACAAAAAAUCCCUUGUUUUAUACUUUCUCCGUUUCAUUUUAUAUGAUUUAGUUUGACUCGACGCGGAGUUCAAAAAAGAAAGGAAGACUUUUGAAAAUUGUGGUCUAAAAUAAGUGAUAAAUAUUUGUGUGACUUAAAUCGUUUAAUACACAUUUUAAAGUUGUGUUGUUACUUAAUAUAGAGGCAUGCCAUUCUUUCUGAGACUGAUUAAAAGGGAAAGUAAAUCAUAUAAAUUGAGACGGAGGAAAAAGUGGGUUGAGUUAGUAGAGAA